AUUGAACGCUGGCGGCAUGCCUUACACAUGCAAGUCGAACGGCAGCGGGGGAGAAGCUUGCUUUUCCUGCCGGCGAGUGGCGAACGGGUGAGUAAUACAUCGGAACGUGCCCUGUAGUGGGGGAUAACUAGUCGAAAGAUUAGCUAAUACCGCAUACGACCUGAGGGUGAAAGUGGGGGACCGCAAGGCCUCAUGCUAUAGGAGCGGCCGAUGUCUGAUUAGCUAGUUGGUGGGGUAAAGGCCUACCAAGGCGACGAUCAGUAGCUGGUCUGAGAGGACGAUCAGCCACACUGGGACUGAGACACGGCCCAGACGCCUACGGGAGGCAGCAGUGGGGAAUUUUGGACAAUGGGCGAAAGCCUGAUCCAGCAAUGCCGCGUGUGAAGAGGGCCUUCGGGUUGUAAAGCACUUUUGUCCGGAAAGAAAUGGCUCUGGUUAAUACCUGGGGUCGAUGACGGUACCGGAAGAAUAAGGACCGGCUAACUACGUGCCAGCCGCCGCAGUAA
RNAcentral lists this ribosomal RNA (506 nucleotides) under uncultured bacterium. Its description in RNAcentral is "partial 16S ribosomal RNA". It matches the Rfam family "Bacterial small subunit ribosomal RNA", at positions 30 to 523 of the family's 1533-position model. The record is from RNAcentral.